RNAcentral lists this ribosomal RNA (468 nucleotides) under uncultured bacterium. RNAcentral describes it as "partial 16S ribosomal RNA". It matches the Rfam family "Bacterial small subunit ribosomal RNA", at positions 28 to 507 of the family's 1533-position model. The record is from RNAcentral.
GACGAACGCUGGCGGCGUGCUUAACACAUGCAAGUCGAACGGAAAGGCCCUGCUUUUGUGGGGUGCUCGAGUGGCGAACGGGUGAGUAACACGUGAGUAACCUGCCCUUGACUUUGGGAUAACUUCAGGAAACUGGGGCUAAUACCGGAUAGGAGCUCCUGCUGCAUGGUGGGGGUUGGAAAGUUUCGGCGGUUGGGGAUGGACUCGCGGCUUAUCAGCUUGUUGGUGGGGUAGUGGCUUACCAAGGCUUUGACGGGUAGCCGGCCUGAGAGGGGGAACGGCCACAUUGGGACUGAGAGACGGCCCAGACUCCUACGGGAGGCAGCAGUGGGGAAUAUUGCACAAUGGGCGGAAGCCUGAUGCAGCAACGCCGGGUGCGGGAUGACGGGCUUCGGGUUGUAAACCGCUUUCGCAUGUGACGAAGCGUGAGUGACGGUAAUGGGUAAAGAAGCACCGGCUAACUACGUG